UAAUAAAAAUCUCCUUUCUUUUCAGUAAAUUAUAAUUUUUUAAGUAGAAUAAUCAAAAUUAUUUUUUAGGAAAAAAUUACCGCAAGGGAAAUAAUUAGCUAGUGAUAAAGUUGAAUUUUCGUACCUUUUGUAUCAGGGUUAGUCAAAUUUUGUUUUAAAUAAAGUUUUCCCGAAAGUAGGUGAUCUAUUUAUUCUUAACAAGUUUGUGUCAUAACACUGUUAAAAGAUUAAAUUGUUGUUAUAAAUAACUCGUACCUUUAUAUCUGGUUGGCUUUUGUUCCUUUUAGAGGGGUCCAAAAUUUGGUUUAAUUAAUAGGGGAUGAGCUCUAUUAAAAUUUAUAUUAUUAUAUUUGUUAGUUAGUUAAUAUUUAAGGCUUAGAAAUUGCCCUUUUGUAAUAAUUAUAUUAACCUAAAAUUUAUUUUCUUAUAAUUAAAUUGGAAAUAGCUUUCUUAAAUUAUUUGUGCUUUGAGUGAAUAAUGAUUAAAUUAGUAGAAAAAAUUUUAUUUUAUUGUUUUAAUUAUUAAAUGAAUAAAAUUAAAACUUGGAAAGGAAUUCGGCAAAAUUAAUUUCCGCCUGUUUAACAAAAACAUGGCCUUUUAUAUUUUUAAGGUCUGGCCUGCCCACUGAAGUUUGAAGGGCCGUGGUAUACUGACCAUGCGAAGGUAGCAUAAUCAUUUGCCUCUUAAUUAGGGGCUGGAAUGAAGGGUUAGACGAGAAAUUUUCUGUCUCUUCAAGUUAUUUGAAUUUAAUUUUUUGGUGAAAAAGCUAAAAUGUUCUUGGAGGACGAUAAGACCCUAUAGAUCUUGAUAAAUUUUCUUCUGAUUUUUUGGUUGUUAGUAAAUCUGUAAUAAGUUUAUUUUGUUGGGGCGACAUUGAGUGGAGAAUAAUCUCUCAAAAUUUUUUUACAACUAUUAUUGUCUUAUGAUCCUUUAGUGAAUUAAGAUAAAGUUACCUUAGGGAUAACAGCGUAAUUUUUCUUGAGAGUUCUUAUCGACAGAAAAGUUUGCGACCUCGAUGUUGGUUCAGGAUUCCUUUUGGGCGCAGUAGCUUAAAAAGGUAGUCUGUUCGACUAUUAAAUUCCUACGUGAUCUGAGUUCAGACCGGCGUGAGCCAGGUUAGUUUCUACCCCCGAGAUUUUUAAAUUAUAGUAGUACGAAAGGACCCUUUAAUUUUUUGUUA
This 1180-nucleotide ribosomal RNA is filed under the name Branchinella thailandensis. RNAcentral's name for it is "partial large subunit ribosomal RNA". The stretch from base 511 to 1180 matches the Rfam family "Archaeal large subunit ribosomal RNA", at positions 1423 to 2779 of the family's 2987-position model. The record is from RNAcentral. Lineage: Eukaryota; Metazoa; Arthropoda; Branchiopoda; Anostraca; Thamnocephalidae.